GUAAAUAUUAGAUUGGUGCAAAAGUAAUUGCAGUUUUUGCCAUUUGUAAUUGCUUUUAAUGGCAAAAACUGCAGUUACUUUUGCACCAACCUGAUAAAUACAA
Molecule: microRNA precursor, 103 nt
Filed under: Chlorocebus sabaeus (green monkey)
Lineage: Eukaryota; Metazoa; Chordata; Mammalia; Primates; Cercopithecidae
Description: miRNA (ENSCSAG00000024034.1)
Source: RNAcentral